Molecule: ribosomal RNA, 441 nt
Filed under: uncultured bacterium
Lineage: Bacteria
Description: partial 16S ribosomal RNA
Rfam family: Bacterial small subunit ribosomal RNA
Source: RNAcentral
CCUACGGGAGGCAGCAGUGGGGGAUAUUGCACAAUGGGGGGAACCCUGAUGCAGCGACGCCGCGUGGGUGAAGGAGCGUUUCGGCGCGUAAAGCCCUAUCGGCAGGGAAGAAGGAGGACGGUACCUGACUAAGAAGCCCCGGCUAACUACGUGCCAGCAGCCGCGGUAAUACGUAGGGGGCAAGCGUUAUCCGGAUUUACUGGGUGGAAAGGGGGGGCAGACGGCAGCGCAAGCCAGGAGUGAAAGCCCGGGGCCCAACCCCGGGACUGCUCUUGGAACUGCGCGGCUGGAGUGCAGGAGGGGCAGGCGGAAUUCCUGGUGUAGCGGUGAAAUGCGUAGAUAUCAGGAGGAACACCGGUGGCGAAGGCGGUCUGCUGGACUGCGACUGACGUUGAGGCCCGAAAGCGUGGGGAGCAAACAGGAUUAGAUACCCCGGUAGUC